Molecule: ribosomal RNA, 406 nt
Filed under: uncultured bacterium
Lineage: Bacteria
Description: partial 16S ribosomal RNA
Rfam family: Bacterial small subunit ribosomal RNA
Source: RNAcentral
AUUGAACGCUGGCGGCAUGCCUAACACAUGCAAGUCGAACGAGUGGCGGACGGGUGAGUAAUGUCUGGGAAACUGCCUGGCGUAGGCGGAUAACUACUGGAAACGGUAGCUAAUACCGCAUACCAUCAGAUGUGGCCAGGUGGGAUUAGCUUGUUGGUGUGCUAACGGCUCACCAAGGCGACGAGCCCUAGCUGGUCUGAGAGGAUGACCAGCCACACUGGAACUGAGACACGGUCCAGACUCCUACGGGAGGCAGCAGUGGGGAAUCUUGCACAAUGGGCGCAAGCCUGAUGCAGCAAUGCCGCGUGUAUGAAGAAGGCCUUCGGGUUGUAAAGUACUUUCAGCGGGGAGGCGUUACCCGCAGAAGAAGCCCCGGCUAACUCCGUGCCAGCAGCCGCGGUAAUAC